Molecule: non-coding RNA, 73 nt
Organism: Pangasius djambal
Lineage: Eukaryota; Metazoa; Chordata; Actinopteri; Siluriformes; Pangasiidae
Source: the annotation of a GenBank genome assembly
GGCUUAGUGGCAUAGUGGUUAGCACUGUUGCCUUUCACCCCAAUGGUUGGAGGUUUGAUUCCUGACUUUGCCC